Molecule: ribosomal RNA, 2977 nt
Filed under: Sphaerobacter sp.
Lineage: Bacteria; Pseudomonadati; Thermomicrobiota; Thermomicrobia; Sphaerobacterales; Sphaerobacteraceae
Description: 23S ribosomal RNA
Rfam family: Bacterial large subunit ribosomal RNA
Source: RNAcentral
GUGAUCCACGAGGAAGGCACACGGUGGAUGCCUCGGCGCGUGGGGCCGAUGAAGGACGUGGCCAGGCGGCGAAACGCCUCGGGGAGCCGCGGGCAGGCAGUGAUCCGAGGGUGUCCGAAUGGGGCAACCCGUCCCGGGUUAUACCGGGACACCCGUCGCUGAACCCAUAGGCGGCGGGGGGGUACCGGGGGAACUGAAACAUCUUAGUACCCCGAGGAGCAGAGAGCAUUCCCGUAGUAGCGGCGAGCGAACCGGGAGGAGCCCAAACCCGGCCGGUGGUACAGGCUGCCGCCGAUGCUGGUCGGGGGUAGGACGGCCCGGGGGGCGGGGCGGCAGACCCGCCACGGAGUGAGCAACCAGCCUCUUAGCCGAACGCUGCUGGAAGGGGCGGCCGGAGACGGUGAGAGCCCGGUAGGCGACGGGGGGCUGGCUCCGCCCGGGUCCGUGAGUACCGCGGGACACGUGGAAUCCCGUGGGAAGCGGGGUGGCCCACCACCCAAGGCUAAAUACCCCACGCGACCGAUAGUGGACGAGUACCGUGAGGGACAGGUGAAAAGCACCCCGGUGAGGGGAGUGAAAGAGAGCCUGAAACCGUGUGCCUCCAGACGGUCAGAGGGGGGCGCGAGUCCCCUGAUGGCGUGCCUAUUGGAGAAUGAACCGGCGAGUGACCGUUCGUGGCCAGGCUAAGGGAGGGACACCCGGAGCCGGAGCGAAAGCGAGUCUGAAGAGGGCGUGCUGAGUCGCGGGCGGUCGACCCGAAACCCGGUGAGCUACCCAUGGCCAGGCUGAAGCGCGGGUAAGAGCGCGUGGAGGGCCGCACCGACGUCUGUUGCAAAAGGCGCGGAUGAGCUGUGGGUAGGGGUGACAUGCCAAGCGAACUGGGAGAUAGCUGGUUCUCCCCGAAAUGGUUUUUGGGCCAGCCUCGCGAGGUGGCCGGCGGAGGUAGAGCACUGGAUCGGCGCGGGGGCUCACCGCUUACCAACCCGAACCAAACUCCGAAUGCCGCUGGCGCGAGCUCGCGGGAGUGAGACGGCGGGGGCUAAGCUUCGUCGUCGAGAGGGGAACAGCCCAGACCGCCGGCUAAGGUCCCCAAGUGUGGGCUCAGUGGGCAAGGAAGUGCGGGCGCGGAGACAACCAGGAGGUUGGCUUAGAAGCAGCCAUCCUUGAAAGAGUGCGUAACAGCUCACUGGUCGAGUGUGCCCGGGCGCCGACAAUCCACCGGGGCUAAGCCCACCACCGAAGCCGCGGGUUCGUCCGGAGGGACGGACGGUAGGGGAGCGUCGUCGUCGGCAGUGAAGGUGGGCCGGGAGGUCUGCUGGAGCGGCGACGAGUGCGAAUGCCGGUAUGAGUAGCGCGAGGGCGGUGCGAAUCCGCCCCACCGAAUGCCGCAGGGUUCCGCAGCCAUGCUUGUCAGCUGCGGGUGAGUCGGGCCUAAGCCGAGGGCGGCAGCCGUAGGCGAUGGACAACGGGUCAACAUUCCCGUACCACGGUGUCACGUGAUGAGCGAUGGGGGGACGCAGGGGGGUAGGCCCAGCGUGGGGAAACCCGCGUCCAAGCGUGUAGGGUGGCCUGGGAGGCAAAUCCCCCGGGCUAGACCUGAGGCGUGAUGGUCAGGCGCGGUGUGCGCCGAGUGGGUUGAGCCCGAACUGCCGAGAAAAGCCUCUAGCCAGUGGCAUCGUGCCCGUACCGCAAACCGACACAGGUCGGCAGGUAGAGCAUACCGAGGUGGACGGGAGAACCCUCGUUAAGGAACUCGGCAAACUGGCCCCGUAACUUCGGGAGAAGGGGCGCCCCGGGUAGGGUGACGGACCUACGCGGUUCGGAGCCUGAGGGGGCCGCAGGGAACCGGCCCAGGCGACUGUUUACCAAAAACACAGGUCUCUGCGAAGGCGCAAGCCGACGUAUAGGGGCUGAUGCCUGCCCAGUGCCGGAAGGUUAACGGGAGGGGUGCGAGCCCCGAACGGAAGCCCCGGUAAACGGCGGCCGUAACUAUAACGGUCCUAAGGUAGCGAAAUUCCUUGUCGGGUAAGUUCCGACCCGCACGAAAGGCAUAACGACCUGGGCGCUGUCUCAACGAGGGACCCGGUGAAAUUGCAGGACCCGUGCAGAUGCGGGUGACCCACGGCAGGACAAAAAGACCCCGUGGAGCUUUACUCCAGCUUGCCAUUGUGCGUGGGCCAGGCUUGUGUAGGAUAGGUGGGAGGCGGAGAACCCGGGCCGCCAGGUCCGGGGGAGCCGGCGGUGAAAUACCACUCUGGUCUGGUCGACGCGCUCACCCCGACCCGUGAGCCGGGCGGGGGACCGUGGCUGGUGGGGAGUUUGACUGGGGCGGUCGCCUCCUAAAAGGUAACGGAGGCGUUCAAAGGUACCCUCAGGCCGGAUGGCAAUCGGCCGGAGCGUGCAACGGCAGCAAGGGUGCUUGACUGCGAGGCUGACCCGCCGAGCAGGGCCGAAAGGCGGACGUAGUGAUCCCACGGUACCGCGUGGCAGGGCCGUGGCUUAACGGAUAAAAGCUACCCCGGGGAUAACAGGCUGAUCGUGCCCAAGAGUUCACAUCGACGGCACGGUUUGGCACCUCGAUGUCGGCUCGUCGCAUCCUGGGGCCGGAGGAGGUCCCAAGGGUUGGGCUGUUCGCCCAUGAAAGCGGUACGCGAGCUGGGUUCAGAACGUCGUGAGACAGUUCGGUCUCUAUCCGCCGUGGGCGGCAGAAGGUUGCGGGGGGCUGGCCCUAGUACGAGAGGACCGGGCUGGACGCACCGCUGGUGUGCCAGUUGUCGGGCAACCGGCAUUGCUGGGUAGCCACGUGCGGCAGGGAUAACCGCUGACAGCAUCUAAGUGGGAAGCCCGCCCCAAGAUGAGCCUUCUCACCCCGGAAGGGGGUAAGACCCCGGGUAGACCACCCGGUUGCGAGGCGGCACGUGGACGGCCGGUAACGGACCGGAGCGAAGCCGUGCUCAUGGUCGAGGGUGGAUCUCCG